AAAAGGAUAGAUCGAGGUAGAGAGAAUUCACCUACAACCAAUCUACUAUUUCUUGGGUAAUAUACCUGCAACCGAUUGACAAGAUCUGAGUCGUCAUUCAAGAUCCAUUCUUGAAUUCAAAAACAUAUAUGAGGAAACUAAAACGCGGUGUAAUAAAACCUGGGUUUUGUUCAUGUUCAUCCGCUGCUCUUAGUGGUGGUGGUGGCGGUGUGAGAGGGCGAUGAACGUAGGACUCCGGUUCGGAGCCAACAAAGGAGAAAAGUAGAGUUUUUGAAGGAGAAAGAUAGAGAAAGAGAAACAGAUCAGACCCAAAAAAAAGUUAAAAAAGAAGGCGGAGGACGUAUAAGGAUAAUAUGAGUUUUUUUGGAAGGUAAGCAUAUUAGGGUUCAAUGGUUUAAUGUCACUCAAAUUCGUUAGAAAUAGAUGUAUAAGAGCAUCCCCAACAGCUUCCUCAUUUUCUUAAAUUUCUCAAUUUUAGGGAAUAUAGAGCUCUUUUUAGGUCCAACAGCUUCCCCAUCCCAUUCUCCAAAAUGGGGAUGAAGAAGAAAAAGAAACAUUCAUUCCCCAAAUUUGCAGCAAAACCUUCCUUCCCCAAAAUUAAAUUCUUCACGUACUCCAACGAAUUUAAAACAACAAUAAAAUAUUUGAUUGGGUAGUUUAUUGUUACAAUGAAAUAUAUAAUGUUUUUUUGUUAUAAUUCAUGAUGAUAUAUUAUAUUUUAUUGUUGUAUUAAAUGCCGAAAUCUCUAAAAUGGAGAAGCUGCUGGAUUUUAAUCAUAAUUUUUUUAGAGAAUUUAGCUUUUACUUCCCCAUUUUAGAGAAAUUUUGGAGAAGCUGUUGGAUAUGCUCUAACUCUAACAGAUAUCUGUGUAAAUGUGCCUGGGUUCUAUUCUUACGAAAAGUUGUGUCUAAUUUUGUAUUUCACGUAUCCGUGUCAAUAUUUCACAUGGUUAAGAAUAUAUUAUCACAUUUGACACGGAUAUAAGUAACAAUAGUUUAUUGUUACGGAAUAGUGUAAUUAUAGUUAAAAAAUUAAAUAUCAUGAAUUAUAGUAAUAUUUUAUUGUCACAGCUAUCUGUGUGAAUAGUUAUACACACAGAUGACCGUGUAACUAAUUAAUACAUUUACACUGUAUUUCGUAACUAAUAUCUUUUCACACGGUUUUUUGUUACCAUUGCUAUUGCAUAAAGUAACGUAGACCAUAAAAGCCUAUUUCACACGGUUAGCAGUAGCACAUUGUAUUUCUCACAGAAUUCUAUGAGUUUAAAGUAAAUGUGAGAAAUAAAUCCGUGUGAAAGGUUAUUUUUCUAGUAGUGAGGUAAAUCUAGAUAAUCAUAUUCAUGCAUUUUGUGCAACUCUCAUAGUUGAAACAGAUUGCCAGGUUCUUGACUUCUUGUUAAGGGCACUUGGGAAUAACUCUCUUGAUCAAUCAGAUCUUGGUUUUCUUCUCUCUGAUCUGAGGGAGCUUUUGUGUCUUGCAUCUUAUGCACAACUUCGUUUUGUUGGUAGGACUGUCGCCCUCACUAUAGCAAGGAAGCUUUUCAAGCUUCUAGUAAUUAAUUAGGUGUUUAAUCUAGCUUGUACCAUCUCCGCAUAAGGAGAGGUGUUAAUUACUUUUGAGAUGUAUAAUUCUUAAGAAAAAGAGUGCGGCUAUUGGAAUCUUCAAAUUUGCUUAAUAUACCUCUCAUUCUCUCUACACCUCCCUUUUACUUUUCAAUAUAAGCAUUUUCUCAUUAGACCUCAUUUCAAAUUUCUAACAUAACCUUAGUUAUUUAUUGACAUAUAUUUCAAUUAAUUACUUACUUAGUUACUUUACCUCUUAUUCACUCAAUAGACCUCUCAUUCUUUAUUUUUAUUUUUUUACCUUUUUGUUUUUGAACAUCCAUUACUUAGUUACUUUACCUCUUAUUCACUCUAAUAGACCUCUCAUUCUUUAUUUUUAUUUUUUUACCUUUUUGUUUUUGUAACAUCCAUUACUUAGUUACUUUACCUCUUAUUCACUCAAUAGACCUCUCAUUCUU
Molecule: long non-coding RNA, 2020 nt
Filed under: Fragaria vesca (wild strawberry)
Lineage: Eukaryota; Viridiplantae; Streptophyta; Magnoliopsida; Rosales; Rosaceae
Description: long non-coding RNA (FVES_LNC000635)
Source: RNAcentral